Molecule: ribosomal RNA, 429 nt
Filed under: Acidobacteriota bacterium
Lineage: Bacteria; Pseudomonadati; Acidobacteriota
Description: Acidobacteria bacterium partial 16S ribosomal RNA
Rfam family: Bacterial small subunit ribosomal RNA
Source: RNAcentral
UGGGGAAUUUUGGACAAUGGGGGAAACCCUGAUCCAGCCAUCCCGCGUGUGCGAUGAAGGCCUUCGGGUUGUAAAGCACUUUUGGCAGGAAAGAAACGUCAUGGGUUAAUACCCCGUGAAACUGACGGUACCUGCAGAAUAAGCACCGGCUAACUACGUGCCAGCAGCCGCGGUAAUACGUAGGGUGCAAGCGUUAAUCGGAAUUACUGGGCGUAAAGCGUGCGCAGGCGGUUCGGAAAGAAAGAUGUGAAAUCCCAGAGCUCAACUUUGGAACUGCAUUUUUCACUACCGGGCUAGAGUGUGUGAGAGGGAGGUGGAAUUCCGCGUGUAGCAGUGAAAUGCGUAGAUAUGCGGAGGAACACCGAUGGCGAAGGCAGCCUCCUGGGAUAACACUGACGCUCAUGCACGAAAGCGUGGGGAGCAAACAGG